RNAcentral lists this ribosomal RNA (225 nucleotides) under uncultured bacterium. RNAcentral describes it as "partial 16S ribosomal RNA". It matches the Rfam family "Bacterial small subunit ribosomal RNA", at positions 29 to 233 of the family's 1533-position model. The record is from RNAcentral.
ACGAACGUUGGCGGCGUGGAUUAGGCAUGCAAGUCGUACGCGAAAGAGGGGGCAACCCCUUGAGUAAAGUGGCGAACGGGUGAGUAACGCGUAGGAAACCUGCCUUCGAGAGUGGGGAUAACACUCCGUAACGGGGUGCUAAUACCGAAUGACACUGGCGGGAUCGCAUGGUUCUGCAGUCAAAGGUGGCCUCUGCUCGCAAGCUACCGCUCAAAGAUGGUCCUG